Molecule: long non-coding RNA, 1883 nt
Organism: Ziziphus jujuba (common jujube)
Lineage: Eukaryota; Viridiplantae; Streptophyta; Magnoliopsida; Rosales; Rhamnaceae
Exons: 3
Source: RefSeq, a predicted model, not a curated record
UUCCCUCGCUUUGCCAUAUAGUGUGUUUGUGUGUGUGAAAAUACAUUUUCCCUCGCUUUGCCAUAUAGUGUGUUUGUGUGUGUGUGUGUGUGUGUGUGUGUGUGUGUGUGUGUGUGUGUGUGUGUGUGUAUAUCCUUAGUCUAUAAUAUAAAUGAGGAAAACCGGAAGAUUUGAUCAUGUUUUACUAUUUAUAAUGGUUAAAAAACGACCAUCUUUUCAGCAUUUUACAUUUUUUUGUGCUUUUAGUUUGCAUAUCCAUAAAUACACUUUAGUGAUCAUUUUAUCUCUUUAUAUUUAGGCAUUUCGUUUAGCAAUUUGGAAGAAUUCGAGGGCUAUUAACAUCUUUUCAAGUAUUUACUAACUUUUGUAGGGGAAGUGAUCUUUUCUUGCCUAUGGAUUCUUCUUUCCUUCUUCCAUUGAAGUUCGGAGUCACCUCCAAAAGAAAAAGGCCAAAAAAAAAAAAAAAAAAAAAGAAAGGAAGAAAAGAAAAAGAACUCUAGAAUCUGUUUCAAUUUCAUCUAGCUUAUCUGAGAUGGGUUGGAUAAAUAAAUGGGAAAAAAUGGAGUUUUUGAAAGAGUAAUGAAAGAGAAGAAAGAUGAAGAGAGAGAGAGAGAGAGUUUGGAGAGAAAAAACAGCACCACCCACUCUCACAUCAAAAAGGGCAUCAGGUGCCACAUCAUUGUUGAUUUGAUAGAUGAUUCUUCAUUUUUGAAUGUUACAUUAUUCGAAAAUCAAGCUGAAAAUUUUCUUGAUUGCACUGCAUAUGAGUUGAUGAAUAACUCUGAUGGGGUAAUAUAAUUCUUUACAUAUCUAUUUGAGGAAAUGAGUUGUUAGUUUUAACUUCUUCUUUGAAAAAACAUAUAUAAAUUAUGCAAAUGCUUAUGUGAGUACUAAUUAUGAAUCUUUUUUUUAGGAUACUGUUAAAGAUAUUGAAAAAAUUGCUACAUUAUCCAGUAGUCAUAAGCUUCUAAUUGUUAAAGCAUCUAAACAUGAAUAUCAUAAUAUUAUAAGAUGAAAAUACACAAUUCUUUCUAUUUGUGAUACUCUUUCAAAAGAAAUCAAUACAUUGACACAAACAAAUGUCUCAACCGAUGUUGAAGUUAGUCAGGUUUUAUAAAUUGUUGAAGAGUAAAGUGGAAAAUCAUUGGACAUAAGUGAAUUGAGAGGUAUGAACAUGUUUGAUAUAUUAUAUCUUAAGUGAAAUUACAUGGAUUUUUAUUUAAUGUUCUGAUGCAUGUAUAUUGGAACUUUCAAAAUCAGAUAUGUCUAGAAAUAUUGACGAUGCUAAGAUAGAACAAGUAAACAAUGAAGAUAAAAUCUUAGCUAAUUUGGUUUUAAAGCCUGUUACAAGAAAUAAGGCAACAAAGAAACUAAAGCUAAUGGCUUUCAAAAGUGCAGGUGAGGCAGAUCCAAUAGUGCUGAAUGUUGAAAAUAUUUAGAAUUUGAUGAAGGAAGUAAGAAGCCGCUUGCCAAGUUUAAAGACAAUGCUUAGUUUGUCAUCACGGGAACCAUCUUUUUGUUAAUAUUAACAUGAUAGAUUAUUAUCAGCUUUUUGUGAACUCAUAGCACAUUUUGACUAUAUUAUGAUGGUAACACUAACAUUAUUAUUUUGUACAUUGCAAGAUAUAAUAAAAACUUGAUUUAGGUAUAACCUAAUACAUUUCUAUUAAAUCUUGCAAUUUAUCUUAGAAAGAUAGCAAAUUUAUCUUAGGAAGAUAGCAAUGAUGCUAAGAUAGUUUCAUCUAUGACAUAAGUAUUUUGUGACAACUUUUUAUUUAAUGAAAGUAAAAUAGUAUUUAUAAGCUUUUAAGAUUGUACUUAUAUUUUCUAUGAUUAUUUUUUAUUUUUGUGCUUCUUGUAGUUAAUAUAUAAAUCCAUAAAUG